GAUGAACGCUGGCGGCGUGCCUAAUACAUGCAAGUCGAGCGAACAGACGAGGAGCUUACUCCUCUGACGUUAGCGGCGGACGGGUGAGUAACACGUGGAUAACCUACCUAUAAGACUGGGAUAACUUCGGGAAACCGGAGCUAAUACCGGAUAACAUGUUGAACCGCAUGGUUCAACAGUGAAAGACGGUCUUGCUGUCACUUAUAGAUGGAUCCGCGUCGCAUUAGCUAGUUGGUAAGGUAACGGCUUACCAAGGCAACGAUGCGUAGCCGACCUGAGAGGGUGAUCGGCCACACGGGAACGGAGCCACGGUCCAGACUCCUAAGGGAGGCAGCAGUAGGGAAUCUUCCGCAAUGGGCGAAAGCCUGACGGAGCAACGCCGCGUGAGUGAAGAAGGUCUUCGGAUCGUAAAACUCUGUUAUUAGGGAAGAACAAAUGUGUAAGUAACUAUGCACGUCUUGACGGUACCUAAUCAGAAAGCCACGGCUAACUACGUG
Molecule: ribosomal RNA, 497 nt
Filed under: uncultured bacterium
Lineage: Bacteria
Description: partial 16S ribosomal RNA
Rfam family: Bacterial small subunit ribosomal RNA
Source: RNAcentral